GUGGGGAAUUUUGGACAAUGGGCGCAAGCCUGAUCCAGCGACGCCGCGUGGAGGACGAAGGCCUUCGGGUUGUAAACUCCUUUUGGAGGGGAAGAAUAAAUUGACGGUACCCUCAGAAAAAGCCACGGCUAACUACGUGCCAGCAGCCGCGGUAAUACGUAGGUGGCGAGCGUUACUCGGAAUUACUAGGCGUAAAGCGUAUGUAGGUGGUUAGAUAAGUCUAUGGUGAAAUUUCCUGGCUUAACUGGGAAGGGACAUAGAUACUAUCUGGCUUGAGUGUGGGAGGGGGAGACGGAAUUCCUGGUAUAGCGGUGAAAUGCGUAGAUAUCAGGAGGAACACCGAUGGCGAAAGCAGUCUCCUGGCCCAAUACUGACACUGAGGUACGAAAGCUAGGGUAGCAAACAGGAUUAGAAACCCUUGUAGUCC
Molecule: ribosomal RNA, 427 nt
Filed under: uncultured bacterium
Lineage: Bacteria
Description: partial 16S ribosomal RNA
Rfam family: Bacterial small subunit ribosomal RNA
Source: RNAcentral